AUGGCUUCCGCCUCGCCGUCGUGGGUCAUCCUGGGCAGCGUGCCGCGGGUGUCGGCCGCCGACGCCGACCUCCCCCAGGGCGCCGACCUCUCCCUCGCGCUGCCGGCGGCCCCCCGCGUCGCGCUCCUCACCAUCCCCCCGCGCAUCUUCCCGGGCCGCACCACCUCCAGAAGCUUCCCGUCCGUCCUCGCCGUCGACGCCUCCGGCCUCCUCCUCCUCCACGCCGACCAAGGCCCCGCCAAGGGCCCCACCGUCAUCGACCUCCCCAGCCGCCGCGAGUUCUUAUGGCUCCCGACCGUCGCGGGCUACUUCCUCCUCGACGCCAAAUCCGCCUCCGCGCUCCCGCUCCCCAACCCCGAGUACGUCAUGCACCCGGGCCACCUCGGCCUCAUCGCCUCCCCCGCCGACGCCGGCCACUACAUGGUCGCUGAGCUCCAGAUGAUCCUCGGCGGCGACCGUGCCGACCUCCUCUGCUUCUCCUCCGAAGCCGGGGAAUGGGUCACCAAGGACGUCCGCUACCCGCUUCCAUCCCGCCCCUUGAGCCCCAACGGCGUGGUCUCGCACUCCGGGAGGCUCUGGUGGGUCGACCUCUCCUGGUGCCUCCUCACGUGCGACCCCUUCGCCGACGCGCCGGUGCUCAGGGUCGUCCCGCUUCCGGAGGGCAAGGCGCUCAAGUCCAAGGAAGCUUGGGGACUGCUCGACAAGUACCGCUGCGUGGCUGUCAGCGGCGCCAAGCUGCGGUUCGUGGAUAUGUACAGGAACCUUAACAGCGGCGGCUCUGUUCAGAUCAGCGUCUGGACGCUCGCUGAUCCGGACUCCACGGAGUGGACGCUGGAGUCUGAGGCCACCUUUGCGGAGAUCUGGGACGACGCGAGCUACAAGGCGACUGGCCUGCCAAGGAAGAUCCCCGUGCUUGCGCUCAUCCAUCCUACGAACCCCGACGUGGUCUACUUCUUUCUGGACGAGCACCUGUUCGGCGUGGACGUGCGUGCUCGCAAGGUUGUGGAGUGUGAGGUCUACGAGCUGGUUCAGCCACCUAGGGAACACGUCACCACCCGUUUCGUUCACGCUUGGCAGCUGCCACAAGCUCUCUGCUCAGGUUCUGCAAAGGAGACUGAAGAUGGCGUGAAAGAAGAGCUGCAGCAACUCCAGCUGUGA
RNAcentral lists this ribosomal RNA (1158 nucleotides) under Triticum aestivum (bread wheat). RNAcentral describes it as "partial small subunit ribosomal RNA". Lineage: Eukaryota; Viridiplantae; Streptophyta; Magnoliopsida; Poales; Poaceae. The record is from RNAcentral.